Molecule: long non-coding RNA, 282 nt
Filed under: Olea europaea (common olive)
Lineage: Eukaryota; Viridiplantae; Streptophyta; Magnoliopsida; Lamiales; Oleaceae
Description: long non-coding RNA (OEUR_LNC002293)
Source: RNAcentral
UGGAAAUUGCUGCAGAAAAAGGGGGGUCACGAAUUCUGAAGAAUGAAGAAAGCAUAGAAAAAGUUCUGAGAUUUAUGGAAGUUGAAGGCUGGUAUGCAGCACUAUGGUUGUUUUACAGUUUGUUUUAUAGAACAGGCAAUUUUUUUGGGUCCUGGUGAUUGGUUGUAAUUUAUUUCUGCACUUUUGAGGGGAUUUUGGUAGCAAAUGAUAUCGAGUGUAAGGUUUGGCCUCCCAUGGCAUGUACCCCGACUCUGUAACUUCAUAACGAUAUAUGUAGGAGGU